GAUUAACGCUGGCGGCGUGCAUAACACAUGCAAGUCGAACGAUGAAACUUAACUGAUUUCUUCGGAAUGAUUUUAAGUGGAUUAGUGGCGGACGGGUGAGUAACGCGUGAGUAACCUGCCUUGGAGAAGGGGAUAGCCUUUUGAAACGAAGAAUAAUACUCUAUGAUAUGAUACUAUCUCAUGAUAUUAUCAUCAAAGAUUUAUCGCCUUGAGAUGGACUUGCUUCUGAUUAGGUGGUUGGUGAGGUAGCAGCUCACCAAGGCAGCGAUCAGUAGCCGGCAUUGGGGAGUGGUCCGCCACACUGCGACUGGGACAAGGACCAGACCCCUACGGGAGGCAGCAGUGGGGAAUUAUGCACAAUGGGGGAAACACUGAUGCAUCGGCGCCGUAAGAUUCAGAAGGCCUUCAAGUUGUAAAGUUCUUUUGUAUGGGAAGAAAAUGACGGUACCAAACGAAUAAGGACCGGCUAAUUACGUG
This 477-nucleotide ribosomal RNA is filed under the name uncultured bacterium. RNAcentral's name for it is "partial 16S ribosomal RNA". It matches the Rfam family "Bacterial small subunit ribosomal RNA", at positions 28 to 507 of the family's 1533-position model. The record is from RNAcentral.